CCUACGGGGGGCAGCAGUGGGGAAUAUUGCACAAUGGGGGAAACCCUGAUGCAGCGACGCCGCGUGAGUGAAGAAGUAUUUCGGUAUGUAAAGCUCUAUCAUCAGGGAAGAAAAUGACAGUACCUGACCAAGAAGCCCCGGCUAACUACGUGCCAGCAGCCGCGGUCAUACGUAGGGGGCAAGCGUUAUCCGGAUUUACUGGGUGUAAAGGGAGCGUAGACGGAUAUGUAAGUUUGGAGUGAAAGCCUGGGGCCAAACCCCGGGACUGCUUUGGAAACUGUGUAACUUGAGUACAGGAGGGGAAGGCGGAAUUCCUGGUGUAGCGGUGAAAUGCGUAGAUAUCAGGAAGAACACCGGCGGCGAAGGCGGCCUGCUGGACUGAAACUGACGUUGAGGCUCGAAAGCGUAGGGAGCAAACAGGAUUAGAUACCCUUGUAGUC
RNAcentral lists this ribosomal RNA (440 nucleotides) under uncultured bacterium. Its description in RNAcentral is "partial 16S ribosomal RNA". It matches the Rfam family "Bacterial small subunit ribosomal RNA", at positions 338 to 795 of the family's 1533-position model. The record is from RNAcentral.